GCCGGGGUGGCGGAAUGGUAGACGCAGACGACUUAAAAUCGUCCGGGUACUCUCGUGCGGGUUCGAGUCCCGCCCUCGGCA
Molecule: transfer RNA, 81 nt
Filed under: Myxococcaceae bacterium
Lineage: Bacteria; Pseudomonadati; Myxococcota; Myxococcia; Myxococcales; Myxococcaceae
Description: tRNA-Leu
Rfam family: tRNA
About the family: Transfer RNA (tRNA) molecules are approximately 80 nucleotides in length.
Source: RNAcentral